GUGAAUAUAGUUUAAUUAAAAUUCUAGGUUGUGGUCCUAGCGAUGAGGGAUAAUAUCCCCCUAUUCACC
Molecule: transfer RNA, 69 nt
Filed under: Phrynomantis microps
Lineage: Eukaryota; Metazoa; Chordata; Amphibia; Anura; Microhylidae
Description: tRNA-His
Rfam family: tRNA
About the family: Transfer RNA (tRNA) molecules are approximately 80 nucleotides in length. Their secondary structure includes four short double-helical elements and three loops (D, anti-codon, and T loops). Further hydrogen bonds mediate the characteristic L-shaped molecular structure. tRNAs have two regions of fundamental functional importance: the anti-codon, which is responsible for specific mRNA codon recognition, and the 3' end, to which the tRNAs corresponding amino acid is attached (by aminoacyl-tRNA synthetases). tRNAs cope with the degeneracy of the genetic code in two manners: having more than one tRNA (with a specific anti-codon) for a particular amino acid; and 'wobble' base-pairing, i.e. permitting non-standard base-pairing at the 3rd anti-codon position.
Source: RNAcentral